CCUACGGGGGGCUGCAGUGGGGGAUAUUGCACAAUGGGGGGAACCCUGAUGCAGCGACGCCGCGUGGGUGAAGGAGCGCCUCGGCGCGUAAAGCCCUAUCGGCAGGGAAGAAGAUGACGGUACCUGACGAAGAAGCCCCGGCUAACUACGUGCCAGCAGCCGCGGUAAUACGUAGGGGGCAAGCGUUAUCCGGAUUUACUGGGUGUAAAGGGGGCGCAGACGGCAAUGCAAGCCAGGAGUGAAAGCCCGGGGCCCAACCCCGGGACUGCUCUUGGAACUGCGUGGCUGGAGUGCAGGAGGGGCAGGCGGAAUUCCUGGUGUAGCGGUGAAAUGCGUAGAUAUUAGGAGGAACACCGGUGGCGAAGGCGGCCUGCUGGACUGUGACUGACGUUGAGGCCCGAAGGCGUGGGGAGCAAACAGGAUUAGAUACCCGUGUAGUC
RNAcentral lists this ribosomal RNA (440 nucleotides) under uncultured bacterium. Its description in RNAcentral is "partial 16S ribosomal RNA". It matches the Rfam family "Bacterial small subunit ribosomal RNA", at positions 338 to 795 of the family's 1533-position model. The record is from RNAcentral.